CUCCAUUCUCCGAUGAGAGAGAGGCAGUCCUGUCGGAUGUGCCGCGGCGCACCUCGCCGAGUGUUGCACGGCGUGCUGCUACACGCGGACUGUUUUCCAAUUUUUGCACAUGGUCUUGCACUUGCUGUCCCUUUUUUCUUCUUUUGUGAUUCAUCUCGUUAAUUUCCUUGAAUAUCGUUCUUUUAUCUUUGAUAGUAAGACCGGAGGAUUGUUAAAUUAUUUUUUUGCGAUUUAUAACAUGUUUAUAGGGGGAAAUAUUGGAUAUAAUAUCAAAAUUAAAUUUGAUGUUUUAUUGAAUAUCCAUCUAUAAAGGGAUAUAAUGUCUGCGAUUCUCAUUUUUAAAACUUAUUUUGCAAGAAGACUAUACAUGUUCUGCUUUAUGGAAAAAUAAAAUUGUUCGUAUAUUUAAAUAUGUAAAAAAAUAUUCAGAUAUGUAAAUUUAAUUCCGUUAUAUUUGAUGUAUAUUUCACACUGUUUUAUUCACAGGCGUCCACGUGUCUAUGUAUCUAUACAUAUAUGUAUAAUAAAAUAUCGUUAAUAUCAUCACGAAACUGACAGUGUCUUCAUUCUAAAAGAAGUUCUGACAUCGCGUAUGUGGUAGCAGUAUAGAUGUCCAUGUAGUUAUUGUUAUCGAUUCGACCUACUCCUAAGACCAGACUAAAGCCGACCUGUUCUGAUAUAUUCAUCAUGCUCAGCAUAAUUUCCCAUCCUUCUGUUUAAGGUACUCUUGAACAGUUUUCAAAGUGCCGGUACUCUUCCUCGCAAAUAAUUAAAUAUACUAAAUGUUAACCGAAAUCUUCCCAAAUUAUUUGGUCCUUUCUAUCAGAAAUUUGUAAUUACCGCGAUAUUAAACCUCUUACAGUUUGUUCAAUAUGGUAAAAUGUAUAAUUUAUUAUGUUAAUGUACCGCCAUAAGAUUCAUUAUUAUGUUUCAUUUGCACAUGAUUAAUUAUAAAAUAUAUCUAAGAAUAAAUACGAAUAACGUUA
Ooceraea biroi (clonal raider ant) is the source of this 986-nucleotide long non-coding RNA. RefSeq lists it as uncharacterized. The record is from RefSeq and is a predicted model, not a curated record. NCBI's taxonomy places the organism in Eukaryota, Metazoa, Arthropoda, Insecta, Hymenoptera, Formicidae.